RNAcentral lists this ribosomal RNA (253 nucleotides) under uncultured bacterium. Its description in RNAcentral is "partial 16S ribosomal RNA". It matches the Rfam family "Bacterial small subunit ribosomal RNA", at positions 524 to 776 of the family's 1533-position model. The record is from RNAcentral.
UACAGAGGUCUCAAGCGUUGUUCGGAUUCAUUGGGCGUAAAGGGCGCGUAGGCGGCGAGGUAAGUCGGGUGUGAAAUCUCAGAGCUCAACUCUGAAACUGCACUCGAUACUGCUUUGCUAGAGGACUGGAGAGGAGAUUGGAAUUCACGGUGUAGCAGUGAAAUGCGUAGAGAUCGUGAGGAAGACCAGUGGCGAAGGCGGAUCUCUGGACAGUAACUGACGCUGAGGAGCGAAAGCGUGGGGAGCGAACAGG